Molecule: ribosomal RNA, 253 nt
Filed under: uncultured bacterium
Lineage: Bacteria
Description: partial 16S ribosomal RNA
Rfam family: Bacterial small subunit ribosomal RNA
Source: RNAcentral
UACAGAGGUCUCAAGCGUUGUUCGGAUUCAUUGGGCGUAAAGGGUGCGUAGGCGGCGCGGUAAGUCGGGUGUGAAAUCUUGGAGCUUAACUCCGAAACUGCAUUCGAUACUGCCGUGCUUGAGGACUGGAGAGGAGACUGGAAUUUACGGUGUAGCGGUGAAAUGCGUAGAUAUCGUAAGGAACACCUGUGGCGAAAGCGGCUCACUGGACCAUUACUGACGCUGAUGUACGAAAGCUAGGGGAGCAAACAGG